RNAcentral lists this ribosomal RNA (494 nucleotides) under uncultured bacterium. Its description in RNAcentral is "partial 16S ribosomal RNA". It matches the Rfam family "Bacterial small subunit ribosomal RNA", at positions 28 to 507 of the family's 1533-position model. The record is from RNAcentral.
GACGAACGCUGGCGGCGCGCUUAACACAUGCAAGUCGAACGGAAAGGCCUGCUUUCCCUUGUGGAUUGCGGGUACUCGAGUGGCGAACGGGUGAGUAACACGUGAGUGAUCUGCCCCCAACUUGGGUAUAAGCCUGGGAAACUGGGUCUAAUUCCCGAUAGGACUGCAGGGUGGUGCCUGUGGUGGAAAACGAUUUUCUAGUGGUUGGGGAUGAGCUCGCGGCCUAUCAGCUUGUUGGUGGGGUAAUGGCCUACCAAGGCGGCGACGGGUAGCCGGCCUGGGAGGGUGGACGGCCACAUUGGGACUGAGAUACGGCCCAGACUCCUACGGGAGGCAGCAGUGGGGAAUAUUGCACAAUGGGCGGAAGCCUGAUGCAGCGACGCCGGGUGGGGGAUGACGGCCUUCGGGUUGUAAACUCCUUUCGACCGCGAGGAAGCCACCUGGUUGGAAGGGUGGUGACGGUAGUGGUAGAAGAAGCACCGGCUAACUACGUG